This is a non-coding RNA of Chelonoidis abingdonii (Abingdon island giant tortoise), 1609 nucleotides long. Lineage: Eukaryota; Metazoa; Chordata; Testudines; Testudinidae. The record is from RefSeq and is a predicted model, not a curated record.
GUGCAGGGAGGGGAGGGGUGGGAACCAGGGGGCGGAGAGGGGUGAGCAGAAAGGUAGGGCAGGUGGGUCGAGAGAGGUGUUAGGAGAGGGGAUUGGGGAGAGGUGGGUGCCAGGGGGUUAGAGUGGGGCUAGAGGAGGGGUGGGCACAGGGUGGUGAGGGAAGGGGUGGGUGCCAGGGGUCAGAGAGGGAGAGGGGCAGGUGUCAGAAGGACUGAGGGGAGUAAGAAGGGUGAAAGCCAGGACAGCAGAGGAGGGUGAGGGAUGGGGUGGCAAUCAGAUGGUAGGGGGGGUGAUGGUAGUGGUAGGCACCAGGGAAGCAGAUUGGGGUGAGGGGAGGAGUAGGAGACAUGGCAGCAGAGGAGGGAAAGGGGAGAGGUGGAUGCCAGGACAUAGUGGGGGUUUGAAGUGAUGGGAGGGCUCCAGGCUGCAGAACAUGUUUGGGGGAGAGAGGCAGAUGCCAGGAUGGCAGGGGGAGAAGGGAUGGGGAGUUCCAGCGGGGCAGAGUUGAGUGGAGGGCAGGGGCACAUGCCAGGGAGGCAAAGUGGGAGUAGAGGGGCAAGGGCCCAAGGGAGUAGAAAGGGAGUGAGAAGAAAGGGAGGAAUGUAGGUGAGAGGUCAGAAUAGACACAGGGUCCAGGGUCCCUCACAGGGGUGAAGGAAGGGUAAGGGAGGGGUGGGAGCCAGAGAGGGGUGAAGGAGAGGAAGGCCCCAGGGAAUCUCUGCUUUUUUCGGGCCAUGUGUGACUGGUGUGUUGCUAACAGCAGAUCGGUGCUGUCCCCACACACACUGGGGUUGCAGCCCUGCCCCAGGGGGAGCAGCUGGGACUCUCCAUGCUGGCGGGCUCCACAGGCCCCACCUUCCAGCCACAAAAACCCCACAGCCAUCCCCUCCCCUUGCCAGGCUGAGCUCCACUCCCACGGGGGCAGUUGUCUGGACUGGGCUCACUUGGGGGGCAUUACAAUGGAAGAUUCUGGGGGGAGGGGUGUAUAAACACAUACUAAUGAGCUGUUGCUAAUGACGCCAGGGCAGUGGGGAGGGGAGGGGGCAUUUCCCCACUUACUGCCCCCUCCAUCUGGGAGAAGUUGCACUGGGGACCAGUCCCAGUUCACACCUGCACAGUGCAUCUGCACUAGGGGUUUGCACCAGUGCAGCUACAUCAGUGCAAGGAAACCCCGUCAGACAUGGCCUGAGACACUGCUGUGCCAGGGGCCUGACCCACUGGGCUGCAGAGUCAUUCUCACUCCCAUGCUCUGGCCCAGUGCCCAUGGCAGUGUUUAGACACAAGGGAACAUCAUCAGACACCUGAGGCCCAGUGGUUCAAGCCCUCAUGGCAUCAUACAGGGGGAUUGAACCUGGGGCUCCCAGCUGAGGGCCCAGCCACUGCCCUAAAGGCUAGAAGGGAAGCGGCAGCACCUUUUUCUCUUAAUUGAAACUAGUCAGCAAACUUGACACGGAUUCACGAAUAGUUUCUCUUGACCCAAAAUAUAAUUUUGCAGCAAAUAAACUAUUUGUCCAAAACAUUUCACCCAGAUCCACUGCAAACCUGUCUGAGCAACUUAGGAGCCCCAAUCCCAGUGACUUGCAAUGAGAGACUGCUGAGGUGAAAGUAA